GGCUCUACCAAUGUCUUGAUUUCAAACUUCCAGUCUCCAGAACUAGGCCAAAUGGAGGCUUCCCAAGGACAAGACUCUUUGGGAACACUAAGAGGCAACACCCUUGGCAUGGGCUACGUUCUCAUGAUGGACAGUGACCCUGAAAAGUUUCAGCCUUGGCAAAGCCUGAGCAAGUGACCCUGCAAGCAGAAGCUGGACAUGUGGGAGCUGUGGCAGAAGCAAAAUAACAAGGCGGAAGACCAUGGCAACUGCGAAAGAAAGACUGUCUCCUGCUGCUGCCACCAUUGGCUGCGCCCCUACCUGGAAACCAGCUAUCAAGGGAGCCGGGGGCAAUAGGUGGCAGGAAUCAGAGACUCCUGGAAACAGAAGAGGAAGAGGACACUGCCAUGGAGAACAGAGAAGUUGAGGCCAUGUGCUAGGCUUGUCCUGUUUUGCUCUUAGAUGUAUUCUCUGUCCCCAUUCUACCCUGUUCGUAUCACAGAGAAUUACUUUUUCCUUGUUCCUUUGCCCUCUGGUUUCUGGGUCAGUUCAGCCAUUGGAUGGCCCUGAAGAGAGAGCAGAAAGGAAGAAGCUAGGUAUUUCUUCCCACUUCUCUCAGCUUCAAGUAUUGUCUCUGGCAGCAGCCAUCUCUUCUAUGGACCCAGCUCUUGCUCCAAGAGUUUCUCUGGUUCCAGCUUCUCCCUGGUGGCCUGGCUCCUUUUGUCCCUUAAGCUUUAGGCAGUGGUAGUAGCUUUCUGCUCUUGAUAAUCUCAAGGAUACCUUACUCUCCCACUUUGGGCUUCUUACCUUUGUCAUCUCCUGGUAUUAAAUCUCUUCUUUAAAAUAUCAAGAAUAUUUAGAAUCCUGACUGAUAGAGGAAACUCUCACAUGGGAGAGCCUCAACCUUCCCAGAAAAGCAUGAGGGGAAUAAAUAUAAACAUGACUUGCAUAUCAUAAAUAUGGAAAAACUUCCAUUGAAUCUGUCACUGCUGUGUGCCUAUUCCCUCCUCUCACUGGGGCCUCCAGUCCCUCAAUCACCAGUGUUCUGGUCCACUUUUUAGCCUGGCUUGCCCUUCAUAUCCCUGGAAAUCAUGAACAAUCAUAUCAACAAUAUUCUAUUAGAAUUCUUGAUUUUCCUGCUGACUUGUCCUCCUGCUGUAGCUAUUCUGUCAGUCCCUAUCCUUAAGUACAAUAAAUUAUCUAUUUUCUCUCUUCCUGCUUUUUUUACUGGACAAAGGAACACUACCUGGCCCAAAUUUCUUCUGGGAUGUUUGCCCUGUUACUUAUAUCCAUUGUACCCAUUUCCAACAACCAUGCACCCAUGGCUUUACCCAGAGUCCCUGGAAUCUUUUCAGUUCAUGUAAACUUAAAAUUUAUGCAAAGGAAAUCCACUAAGGAUUGGAGACCAAAAAACAAAUGUAUGACAUCAUGCUAUAAUUUCACACACAGAGAAUUAUUUUAAAAAU
Molecule: long non-coding RNA, 1445 nt
Organism: Piliocolobus tephrosceles (Ugandan red Colobus)
Lineage: Eukaryota; Metazoa; Chordata; Mammalia; Primates; Cercopithecidae
Exons: 3
Source: RefSeq, a predicted model, not a curated record